This 253-nucleotide ribosomal RNA is filed under the name uncultured bacterium. RNAcentral's name for it is "partial 16S ribosomal RNA". It matches the Rfam family "Bacterial small subunit ribosomal RNA", at positions 524 to 776 of the family's 1533-position model. The record is from RNAcentral.
UACGUAGGGAGCAAGCGUUGUCCGGAAUCAUUGGGCGUAAAGCGCGCGUAGGUGGCUUCGUAAGUCCGUUGUGAAAGUCAAAGGCUCAACCUUUGAAAGCCGAUGGAUACUGUGAAGCUAGAGUACGGAAGAGGCGAGUGGAAUUCCUGGUGUAGCGGUGGAAUGCGCAGAUAUCAGGGGGAACACCAAUAGCGAAGGCAGCUCGCUGGGACGGUAUUGACGCUGAGGCGCGAAAGCGUGGGGAGCAAACAGG